AGAGUUUGAUCAUGGCUCAGAUUGAACGCUGGCGGUAGGCUUAACACAUGCAAGUCGUGCGAGAAAGUAUCUUCGGGUAUAAGUAGAGCGGCGGACGGGUGAGUAACGCGUAGGAAUCUACCUAGUAGAAGGGGAUAGCCCGGGGAAACUCGGAUUAAUACCGUAUACCUCCUUUGGGAGAAAGAAGGCCUCUCUUUGAAGCUUUCGCUACUAGAUGAGCCUGCGUAAGAUUAGCUUGUUGGUGAGGUAAAGGCUCACCAAGGCGACGAUCUUUAGCGGGUCUGAGAGGACGAUCCGCCUCAUUGGGACUGAGACACGGCCCAGACUCCUACGGGAGGCAGCAGUGGGGAAUAUUGGACAAUGGGCGCAAGCCUGAUCCAGCCAUACCGCGUGUGUGAAGAAGGCCCUAGGGUUGUAAAGCACUUUAAGUUGGGAAGAAAAGUUAUUGGUUAAUACCCAAUAACCGUGACAUUACCUUCAGAAUAAGGACCGGCUAAUUCCGUGCCAGCAGCCGCGGUAAUACGGAAGGUCCAAGCGUUAAUCGGAAUUACUGGGCGUAAAGCGCGCGUAGGUGGUUUAUUAAGUUGGAUGUGAAAUCCCCGGGCUCAACCUGGGAACUGCAUCCAAAACUGAUUCACUAGAGUACGAUAGAGGGAGGUAGAAUUCACAGUGUAGCGGUGGAAUGCGUAGAUAUUGUGAAGAAUACCAAUGGCGAAGGCAGCCUCCUGGAUCUGUACUGACACUAAGGUGCGAAAGCGUGGGUAGCGAACAGGAUUAGAUACCCUGGUAGUCCACGCCGUAAACGAUGUCAACUAGCUGUUGGGAAACAAUGUUUCUCAGUGGCGCAGCUAACGUAGUAAGUUGACCGCCUGGGGAGUACGGGCCGC
Molecule: ribosomal RNA, 887 nt
Filed under: uncultured bacterium
Lineage: Bacteria
Description: bacterial SSU rRNA
Rfam family: Bacterial small subunit ribosomal RNA
Source: RNAcentral